This is a long non-coding RNA of Homo sapiens (human), 1024 nucleotides long. RefSeq lists it as uncharacterized. The record is from RefSeq and is marked validated. Lineage: Eukaryota; Metazoa; Chordata; Mammalia; Primates; Hominidae. The transcript has 4 exons.
AGCCGUGACAGCCGCGGGAAGACAUGAGAGGCUGCUAGAAGGACUUCCCGCGGCCAGCGCCAUCACCUGCCCACGCCGCAGGGAGCCCUGACCAGAGCUCCAGACCUCUGGGUCCAACUGCCUUAUGGAUCCCUCUCCCUGAAUGUCACAUAGGAGAGGGGACAGGGGUUGGCCACACACCUGGAAAUGGAGUUCUCUGAUGCAAUGUCCUUUGGGGUCCGGACUGUGGUGAAGGUUCGUCCAGCUCCACGCCCACCCACUGGCCGCUGGCAAACUCCGUGGUCCCACAGAACCGCAGUGUGCCCGUCUGGGGAGAGAAGGGAGGCGAUGGCUAAGGAAGGAAUGCUGGGAGGCCAACGUGGAGUGCCCACACACGGGCAGCAAGAAAAGAAGAGAGGGCAAUGCAACCAUGGAGGCAGAGACUGGAGAGAUGUGGCCACAAGCCAAGCACUGCCUGCAGCCACCAGGAACCGGAACAGGCAAAGAAGAGAUUCUCCCCCAGAACCUCCAGAGGAGUACAGCCCUGCCGACACCUUGGUUUUGGCCCAGGAAAGCCGAUUUGGACUCCUGGCCUCUAGAACUGUUAGAAAAUAAUUUGUCUUGUUUUAAGCCACCAAGUUUGUUAGAGCAGCAUGGGAAACUAAUAGUGUAAUAAAGGGAGAAAUAAGAAUGUCUUUCACAUUUGCUGGUAUUUAUAUAAAGAAACUAUGGUAAUGUGGUUUGGCUCUGUGUCCCCACCCAAAUCUCAUCUUGAACUGUAAUCCCCAUGUGUCAAGGGAGGGACAUGAUGGGAGGUGACUGGAUCAUGGGGGAUGUUUCCCCCAUGCUGUUCCCAUGAUAGUGAGUGAGUUCUCAUGAGAUCUGAUGGUUUAAAAGUGGCAGUUCCCCUCUUGCUCUCUCUCUCUCCUGCCCCCAUGUAAGAUGUUUGCUUUCCCUUCGCCUUGCACCAUGAUUGUAAGUUUCCUGAGGCCUCCCCAGCCAUUCAGAAUUGUAAGUCCAUUAAACCUCUUUCCUUUAUGAAUUA